CAAAAAGACACUGAAGAAGAUUCAACAAUUAUACUACUUUUAGCAUACAUAGAUGUUCAUAUGAAUAUGUGGGUUUAUGAUAUAUAUUAGAAUAAAAGUUUAUAGGUAGCCAAUUUAUUUUCUUCUUAUCUCAACUCUUUCCAGAGACCCUAUAAGAAGAAAGAGCUACAACCUAUCAAGAAAGAACUGAAGCCUCUAGACAAAAGGUCAAAGACUAUUAUAAAGUCUGAUAAAAUCAACGGCAAAGUUAGAAGAAUUGGACCACACAUAGAAAAUUUCCAACUGUUCCAGGGAAGAAACAAAUCUAUAUUUACUAAAAGAAUUGUUAAACUGAUCGUCACUGCACAAGCAUUUAUUGAAAGAUCCCCAGAGCGGGGAGACCCUCACUCAAAUCUCCACCAAGAACUCACACAUGACCAUCCUUGCUGUAAUCACAUGAGGUUUAUCGAUAGGAACCAGUGCACUAGGGUCGAGAUUCAUAUCCCAUGCAGUGGCUGUGGAGUUGGACCCCGAGAGGCUGGGAGAAAGAGUAUUUAAAGGAAGAGACUGUGAGCCCCAGAGGAUGAGGUGAUGUCAAAGGGGAAUGUCAAAGAUACCACAAGUUACAGGAUUGUUUUAUGGCUCUAGUAGAUAAGGGGAUGCCAAAAGGUUUUAUGGUCCACUGGUUCCUGGAACAGAGCUACUAAAUCAGGAGAAGGGUCAGGUCCUCAGGUCCUCAUUAUUUUUAUCUCUUGUCCUGUCAGGGUAAAAGUUUGUCAGAGUUGAUGAAGCAUCUGCAUUUGAAACACAUCUGGUUAGGCUUGGGCCCCAGGUUUCCCGGAGUGCUCUCUGCAGGGGGCUUAAACAAACAAUACAGGGGCCCGAACAGUUACUCACACCUGGUGAUAAGCAAAGUAGUUCUCUUGCAUUUUUAACAAUCUGUCUUCCUGAGUCAGGUCCUGUUGCUGAGUUUUGGGCUAAUUUAAAACUCUCUCAUUAUCAGGGGGUGGCUUGAGCGCAAAAGACUUCAAUGAAUAAAGAGCAAGGUAAGGGUUGCCCUGCAGAUAAGAAUGUCUUUAAAAUUGUCUAUGUAGACUUCUGGUUGUUUGAUGUGGGUUUGUUGUUAUUAUUGUUUUAAGACAGGGUUUUUCUGUGUAGUCCUGGCUGUAUUAGAACUUGCUCUGUAGACCAGGCUGGCCUUGAACUCAGAGAUCUGCCUGCCUCUGCCUCUUGAGUACUGGGAUUGAAGGAGAUACGCAGCACUACCAUCUUGCUUCUUAUGUAUACUUAAUUAUAGAAUUCAAAUAGUUAUCUCUAAGAAGAAGAGAUAUCUCUUCUAUCUCUACAAAAAUCUAUACAUUUGGAUUGAGAAAAUCAAAUGAGUAAUUUAAUUUAUUCUGGUAACAGUUUUGCCUUCUGAGAAUUUGGGCACUUAGCAAAAUAUUAUCUUUAGCUCUUUAGCCAGUGUUCAGCAGUUCUGGGACUAGAGGAAACUGUCUUUCUUUUUUUUUUUUUUCUGCUAUUUACUCUCUAGCUAGAAUAAUUAGAAGCUUUCUGCUUCCCAAACUCCUGGGUACUCUUGAAGUGCAUUAAACAUUUCCUUUGGAAAUAACUGUGUGUAACUCUUCCCUCUACAACUGUCUUGGCAGGUUUUAGAAACAGCAAUAUUGGGUUUCAUAAUAAACCACAAGUAUGACUUUUGGCUGCCCAAAUACAAGAGAGUCCCAAAUGGAUGUGUUCUGGUAAAACUAUGAGGGCAUGAGAAAUGUAUUCACCUUGAGGAUUAAAGCUUGGCAAACUAUAAAGACAUGCACACAUUGUUUUCAGAGUAGCCCAUUGGAAGGACCUUGCUGUUAGGUCCCCAGAGUACCUAUUUUUAAGAACAUGGUUAUCUGCUUGUUCGUAAGUGGAAGUGUAUCCAUUGCUUAUAUCAUUCUGAUGUGAAAUCUGUCUUAUUAAAAGUAAACUCUUUAUACUGAAUUCAUCACUAAUUCUGUUAGGUAGCCACUGUAUAUUUUAUACUUGAAAAAAUACAAGCUCCAAUAAUAAAAUCAACUGCUCAAAGUCAAGUCAAACAGCUGAUAGCCUGAUAGUCAGACACCAAGCACUAGACUUUAUUCUACAUAGCCUAUUGCCUACUAGAAUUACUUCUGGCAAGAGUAUUUCCUAAUCCAAUAAAAGCUACAUCAUAGACAUUUCACUGUAGCUUAGGCCCAGGUAUUACAUUGCUUACUUGAAGUUUCCUUAGGUCACAAUUCAAGUGAUCCAAAAUGAACUCAUUUUCUUACUUUCCCAGGUACCUUUGCUCCUGCAUUGCAUAUGCAGUAUGUCCAUUGUGCAGUCACAGCCUAGAAUUGUCUGCAUUUUGACAUUUUUGUUGCCAUACCCAAUUGCUGUGAGUUUCACAUAUUUUCCUAGAUUCUUUUUCUCUGCCUUUUCCUUUAGAUUUUAUUUUCACCUGCUCUCACAUGAAGGAUCACAGUAGGUUUCUCAUUGAUUUCCUUGAUUAUGGGCUUACUUUCAUUUAGUUCUCUAUAAUAUCUGCCAUAUUUUAUACUUGACACAUUUCCCUACUUCUCAUAGUCUUAUGCUGCCGUGCACUGGAUAAGAUAUGAACUGUGAACUUCCUGACAUGGACAAAGGACCUCCUGUCUCUGGUUUCUGUAAAGGUAGUCACAAGGAAAUGCAGGUACAAAAAGAAGAACAGAGAAUGAAGGAAAGGGCAUCCAGAGACUGCCGCACCUAGGUAUCCAUUCUAUCCACAGACACCAAACCCAGACAGUUUUGCUGAUGGCAAGAAGGGCUUGCUGACAGCCUGAUAUAGCUGUCCCCUGAGAGUCUCUGCCAGAGCCUGACCAAUACAGAUGCCGAUGCUCACAGCCAACCAUUAGACUGAACACUGGGACCCCAGUGAAGGAAUUCGGAGGACUGAAGGAGCUAAGGGGGAUUGAAACCCCAUAGGAAGAACAACAAUAUCAACCAAUUAGACCUUCCAGAGCUCCCAGGAACUAAACCACGAACCAAAGAGUACAUAUAGAGGGACCCAUGAUUCCAGCUGCAUAUGUAGCAGAGGACUGCCUUAUCUUGUAUUAAUGGGAAGGGAGGCCUUUGAUCCUAUGGAGACUUGAUGCUCCAGAAUAGAGGAAUGCUGGAUUGAUAAGGCUGGAGCAGGUGGAUGAAUCAUGGAGCACCCUCUUAGA
Molecule: non-coding RNA, 3179 nt
Organism: Rattus norvegicus (Norway rat)
Lineage: Eukaryota; Metazoa; Chordata; Mammalia; Rodentia; Muridae
Source: RefSeq, a predicted model, not a curated record